UUUUUUUCCAAACAUCGCCUCUUGCUAAAACAUAAGAGGUCCCGCCUGCCCCGUGACUUAGUUUAACGGCCGCGGUAUCUUAACCGUGCAAAGGUAGCACAAUAAAUUGUUCUCUAAAUAAGGACUAGAAUGAAUGGCAUCACGAAGGCUCAACUGUCUCCCCCCUCUGAUCAAUGAAACUGAUCUUCUCGUGAAGAAGCGAGAAUAAAUAUAUAAGACGAGAAGACCCCAUGGAGCUUUAAACUCAUAACCAAUUACUUAAAUCCAAAUCACAAAAAAUAGUAAACUUGUUCUACCAUAGUUUUCGGCUGGGGUGACCCUGGAGUAAAAUAAAUCCUCCAGAGUGAACGGAGUAAAAUCCUAAUAGUAGAGCUACAGCUCGAAUAAUCAAAAUAAUUGACACUAAUGAUCCAACCUGUUGAUCAACGAAACAAGUUACCCUGGGGAUAACAGCGCAAUCCAUUUCAAGAGCCCCUAUCGACGAAUGGGUUUACGACCUCGAUGUUGGAUCGGGAUAUCCAGGUGGCGCAGCCGCUACCAACGGUUCGUUUGUUCAACGAUUAACAAUCCCACGUGAUUGAUUUUAAA
This 588-nucleotide ribosomal RNA is filed under the name Afrixalus paradorsalis. RNAcentral's name for it is "partial large subunit ribosomal RNA". It matches the Rfam family "Bacterial large subunit ribosomal RNA", at positions 1802 to 2615 of the family's 2925-position model. Lineage: Eukaryota; Metazoa; Chordata; Amphibia; Anura; Hyperoliidae. The record is from RNAcentral.